ACUCCUACGGGAGCAGCAGUGGGGAAUAUUGCACAAUGGGGGAAACCCUGAUGCAGCCAUGCCGCGUGUGUGAAGAAGGCCUUCGGGUUGUAAAGCACUUUCAGUAGGGAGGAAGGUAGUGUAGUUAACACCUGCAUUAUUUGACGUUACCUACAGAAGAAGCACCGGCUAACUCCGUGCCAGCAGCCGCGGUAAUACGGAGGGUGCGAGCGUUAAUCGGAAUUACUGGGCGUAAAGCGCAUGCAGGCGGCCUGUUAAGUCAGAUGUGAAAGCCCGGGGCUUAACCUCGGAAUUGCAUUUGAAACUGGCAGGCUAGAGUCUUGUAGAGGGGGGUAGAAUUUCAGGUGUAGCGGUGAAAUGCGUAGAGAUCUGAAGGAAUACCAGUGGCGAAGGCGGCCCCCUGGACAAAGACUGACGCUCAGAUGCGAAAGCGUGGGGAGCAAACAGGAUUAGAUACCCUGGUAGGAUAGAG
Molecule: ribosomal RNA, 472 nt
Filed under: uncultured bacterium
Lineage: Bacteria
Description: bacterial SSU rRNA
Rfam family: Bacterial small subunit ribosomal RNA
Source: RNAcentral